AGCAGCCGCGGUAAUUCCAGCUCCAAUAGCGUAUAUUAAAGUUGUUGCAGUUAAAAAGCUCGUAGUUGAAUUUCGGGAUCAAAGGAUCGGUCAUGCCUUGGUAUGUACUGGUUUUAUUGGUUCUUACCUUCUAAAGAACCAUAAUGUCAUUCAUUUGAUGUUAUGGGGAAUUAGGACUGUUACCUUGAAAAAAUUAGAGUGUUUAAAGCAGGCUUACGCUUGAAUACAUUAGCAUGGAAUAAUGAAAUAGGACAUCAGAUUCUAUUUUGUUGGUUUCUAGGAUCGAUAUAAUGAUUAAUAGGGAUAGUUGGGGGCAUUAGUAUUCAAUUGUCAGAGGUGAAAUUCUUGGAUUUAUUAAAGACUAACUACUGCGAAAGCAUUUGCCAAGGAUGUUUUCAUUAAUCAAGAACGAAAGUUAGGGGAUCGAAGACGAUCAGAUACCGUCGUAGUCUUAACCAUAAACUAUGCCGACUAGGGAUCGGAUGAUGUUAAUUUUUUAAUGACUCAUUCGGCGUCCG
RNAcentral lists this ribosomal RNA (518 nucleotides) under uncultured Glomus. RNAcentral describes it as "SSU rRNA". It matches the Rfam family "Eukaryotic small subunit ribosomal RNA", at positions 569 to 1089 of the family's 1831-position model. The record is from RNAcentral. Lineage: Eukaryota; Fungi; Glomeromycota; Glomeromycetes; Glomerales; Glomeraceae.